GCGUGGGUGAAGAAGGUCUUCGGAUUGUAAAGCCCUUUCGGCGGGGACGAUGAUGACGGUACCCGCAGAAGAAGCCCCGGCUAACUUCGUGCCAGCAGCCGCGGUAAUACGAAGGGGGCUAGCGUUGCUCGGAAUUACUGGGCGUAAAGGGCGCGUAGGCGGCCGGAUUAGUCAGGCGUGAAAGCCCUGGGCUCAACCUGGGGACUGCGCUUGAUACGGUUUGGCUUGAGGGCAGGAGAGGCUCGCGGAAUUCCCAGUGUAGAGGUGAAAUUCGU
Molecule: ribosomal RNA, 275 nt
Filed under: uncultured bacterium
Lineage: Bacteria
Description: partial 16S ribosomal RNA
Rfam family: Bacterial small subunit ribosomal RNA
Source: RNAcentral